AGAGUUUGAUCAUGGCUCAGGACGAACGCUGGCGGCGUGCCUAAUACAUGCAAGUCGAGCGAAUCGAUGGGAGCUUGCUCCCUGAGAUUAGCGGCGGACGGGUGAGUAACACGUGGGCAACCUGCCUAUAAGACUGGGAUAACUUCGGGAAACCGGAGCUAAUACCGGAUACGUUCUUUUCUCGCAUGAGAGAAGAUGGAAAGACGGUUUACGCUGUCACUUAUAGAUGGGCCCGCGGCGCAUUAGCUAGUUGGUGAGGUAAUGGCUCACCAAGGCGACGAUGCGUAGCCGACCUGAGAGGGUGAUUGGCCACACUGGGACUGAGACACGGCCCAGACUCCUACGGGAGGCAGCAAUAGGGAAUCUUCCGCAAUGGACGAAAGUCUGACGGAGCAACGCCGCGUGAACGAAGAAGGCCUUCGGGUCGUAAAGUUCUGUUGUUAGGGAAGAACAAGUACCAGAGUAACUGCUGGUACCUUGACGGUACCUAACCAGAAAGCCACGGCUAACUACAUGCCAGCAGCCGCGGUAAUACGUAGGUGGCAAGCGUUGUCCGGAAUUAUUGGGCGUAAAGCGCGCGCAGGUGGUUCCUUAAGUCUGAUGUGAAAGCCCACGGCUCAACCGUGGAGAGU
RNAcentral lists this ribosomal RNA (632 nucleotides) under uncultured marine bacterium. RNAcentral describes it as "bacterial SSU rRNA". It matches the Rfam family "Bacterial small subunit ribosomal RNA", at positions 8 to 623 of the family's 1533-position model. The record is from RNAcentral.